AGAGGUGGAGUCGCAGAGUCGGAGUCGUGAACCACAGCGAGAGGCAUGUUCAAUAUAGCGAAGGCUUAUUUUGCAAACCCAUUUUCAAUGUCUCUGUAUAAGGAGAACGAGUAAGGGGUAUUUUUUACUAUUGGGCUAUAUAAUCCCAUUUAAAUUAGUCCCCUUUCUAACCAAACAUGGGCUUCAGGUCCAAUUUAGCACAGUCCUAUCUAGUGAGCCCUACCAAACAUCCCCUAAUUGUUCGGUAGGAAGUUUACUCCUUGAUGAAGACGAAAGCAAGCUCCUUGAAGUUGCUGAUCGACCCGGAUGGUAGGGUAUGGAGCCAAUCCUGGCUACUCCUCAUAGGGUCCUUGCAAAUACCUUACACAUCAACACAUCCUCGGCCUCGUAGAGAAUCAUGACACUUUUGAAGUGCUUCAAAUGGCUCUCGGGAUAGGAAUCCCCUUUGAAGUGUGUGAAAGAAGGCAUUCAGAAUCGCUUCAGUGUUACCGCUGCUCGAUCUCGGCAAUGAACGAUGAGGAGUUCACUUGGUCUACCUCCUUGCAUAGAACAUCUUUGAAAUCUCAUCCAAUCUUCAAGUCUUGAAGUUGGUCAUUCAUGAGCUUCUCG
RNAcentral lists this long non-coding RNA (609 nucleotides) under Prunus persica (peach). RNAcentral describes it as "long non-coding RNA (PPER_LNC007070)". Lineage: Eukaryota; Viridiplantae; Streptophyta; Magnoliopsida; Rosales; Rosaceae. The record is from RNAcentral.